UUGAAAAGAACUUUGAAGAGAGAGUUCAAGAGUACGUGAAACCGUUCAGGGGUAAACCUAAGAAACCCAAAAGAUCGAACGGGGAGAUUCAUCGUCAGCGGCGCUGGCUUCGCGUCGGUGGGCGAUGUUCCGCGGAGCCCUUGCGGGUCCUACCGCGGACACGCUACCGUGCGUCGAUGUCCGGCGCUCGUCGUCGUGCACUUCUCCCCUAGUAGGACGUCGCGACCCGCUGGGUGUCGGUCUACGGCCCGGGUGCGGUGCCUGUCGCGUCGCCGGUAAAACGGCACGCGGCAAACCCCCGGUCGCCCGGCCGGCUGCCCGGCGGUACACGCAUGGUAUCAGGCCGCACUCUUCUCACGUGUGCGUCGAGACCGGCGCAAGCGCGCGCCACGGUACUCGGAGGUUACGGACCUAGCGCCGUCCCCGGUCCUGGCCCGCUGUUGGCUCGCUCGGAACUCCUUCGACAGGCCUGCAAAGUAUAUACCGGUCGGCGACGCUACUGCUUUGGGUACUCUUAGGACCCGUCUUGAAACACGGACCAAGGAGUCUAACAUGUACGCGAGUCAUUGGGACUAGCGAGACCUAAAGGCGCAAUGAAAGUGAAGGUCGGCCCUGGUUGUCGACCGAGGGAGGAUGGGCCGCGUCGCGAUGCGGCUCCGCACUCCCGGGGCGUCUCGUUCUCAUCGCGAGAAGAGGCGCACCCAGAGCGUACACGUUGGGACCCGAAAGAUGGUGAACUAUGCCUGGUCAGGACGAAGUCAGGGGAAACCCUGAUGGAGGUCCGUAGCGAUUCUGACGUGCAAAUCGAUCGUCGGAACUGGGUAUAGGGGCGAAAGACUAAUCGAACCAUCUAGUAGCUGGUUCCCUCCGAAGUUUCCCUCAGGAUAGCUGGCACUCGGCCGUUCCGCCAGGAACGCGCGCGAGUCUCAUCUGGUAAAGCGAAUGAUUAGAGGCCUUGGGGCCGAAACGACCUCAACCUAUUCUCAAACUUUAAAUGGGUGAGAUCUCUGGCUUUCUUGAAUUAUGAAGCCACGAGCAUCUCGGAUCAGAGUGCCAAGUGGGCCAUUUUUGGUAAGCAGAACUGGCGCUGUGGGAUGAACCAAACGCAGAGUUAAGGCGCCCAACUCGACGCUCAUGGGACACCAUGAAAGGCGUUGGUUGCUUAAGACAGCAGGACGGUGGCCAUGGAAGUCGGAAUCCGCUAAGGAGUGUGUAACAACUCACCUGCCGAAGCAACUAGCCCUGAAAAUGGAUGGCGCUGAAGCGUCGAGCCUAUACUCUGCCGUCAGCGGCAAGUGGGGCGGCCGCGCGCAAGCGCGCCGUCACGAAGCCCUGACGAGUAGGAGGGUCGCGGCGGUGUGCGCAGAAGGGUCU
This 1374-nucleotide ribosomal RNA is filed under the name Liometopum sinense. RNAcentral's name for it is "partial 28S ribosomal RNA". It matches the Rfam family "Eukaryotic large subunit ribosomal RNA", at positions 364 to 1413 of the family's 3401-position model. The record is from RNAcentral. Lineage: Eukaryota; Metazoa; Arthropoda; Insecta; Hymenoptera; Formicidae.